Molecule: long non-coding RNA, 1460 nt
Filed under: Homo sapiens (human)
Lineage: Eukaryota; Metazoa; Chordata; Mammalia; Primates; Hominidae
Description: novel transcript
Source: RNAcentral
GGGCAUAUGUCAUCAGGAUUCCUGAGGCUGUGUCAUGGGUGCACACCCUCAACCUUGGCAAAAUAAACUUUCUAAAUUAACUGAGACUUGUCUCAGAUUUUCUGGGUUCACAUUUUGGUAACCACAGGGGGAUUCUGAGUGGAGAUACCCCUGACCUUUGACAAAUAUCCUGUUGGUGCUUGGUACCAGCAUGAGCUAACUUUAUGGUUCAAACCAAUAGGACAAUUUGCCGUGCACCCCCUCCAGAGAAUCCCUGAGCUCCAAAAAUUUGGUUGAGAUCAAAAGUUUAUUUUGCUGUACAACUCCUCUUUUUGAGGGAGUUUUACUUGCUUCCAACAGGAAGGCAGGUUUUCUUGCUUCCAUGAUGAUGGAAGGCAGACAACUCCUUUAUGGAGUUUGAGCUUGCUUCCAACAGGGAAGAUGAGGUUUUUUUUUUCCUUCUUCUAGGAUGGUAGAGAGCGGUCUACAGCCUGAGACCCAUCACCAGCUAUUGCAACAGAGGCUACUCUUUGGUUUUCAAGAAAGAGUGUGGCUGCGCGUGGUGGCUCAUGCCUGUCAUCCCAACACUUUGGGACACCGAGGCGGGAGGAUCACGAGGUCAGGAGUUCAAGACCAGCAUGGACAACCUGGUGAAACCUCAUCUCUACUAAAAAUACAAAAAUUAGCUGGGCAUGGUGGUGCGUGCCUGUAAUCCCAGCUACUCAGGAGGCUGAGGCAGGAGAAUUGUUUGAACCGGGACCCAAGAGGUGAGGUUGCAGUGAACCAAGGUCAUGCCACAGCACUCCAGCCUGGGCUGCAGAGCAAGACUCCAUCACAAAAAAAAAAAAAGUGUAGUUUAAUUUUAUGUAUAAUUUGGCUCAAAGAAAAAUAAAAGCAUCUCCCUCUAGCACCACCAGAUUUUCUUCUCUCUGUACCUUAUGAUGCAAAUUUUGCUAUUUGAUUUUCACCUGAGUUGUUUCCUUUAAUGUGCAAAUUUAAGGCUAUUUAGCUGACAACUGCCUAGGAUUGUGAAAGAGGUUAUCAAGAAUCUGAAAGUCUAAGAUAGAAAAAAAAAAAAUAGGGUGGGCGUUUCUUUAUAAACCUAUAAAAUGUACUUCUAUGGUCAUGCCUAAUAUACAUUGACAUGUAUUUAUAUGUUCUGUACAAAAUGUUUCACUGCUAAAAAUAUAUAAAAGAGCUCUAAUUAAUUGGCUUAAAGAAAAUAAAAGCACUUAAAUCAGCUACUAAAAAAGAAACGACUAGUCAAAUGCUUUUUCAAGUUUAUGUAACUUAAGUAAAAUCUUUAAUAAAUAAGCUAGCUUUAAAAUUAUUGGUAAAGUAAUAUUAAAAGUGUCUUAAGGAAUAACCAACAUAUAUUUGUGUUGCAUUUAUUAAUCAAGUAAAUUUUAUACUCAUCUCUGUCAAAUAUAUUUGUGUCAAAAUUUGGCAUAGGAGACACAAAACUAUAAACCCAGCCCAAA